RNAcentral lists this ribosomal RNA (231 nucleotides) under uncultured bacterium. Its description in RNAcentral is "partial 16S ribosomal RNA". It matches the Rfam family "Bacterial small subunit ribosomal RNA", at positions 15 to 235 of the family's 1533-position model. The record is from RNAcentral.
GAUCCUAGCUCAGGAUGAACGCUAGCUACAGGCUUAACACGUGCAAGUCGAGGGGCAGCAUGGUCUUAGCUUGCUAAGGCUGAUGGCGACCGGCGCACGGGUGAGUAACACGUAUCCAACCUGCCGUCUACUCUUGGCCAGCCUUCUGAAAGGAAGAUUAAUCCAGGAUGGGAUCAUGAGUUCACAUGUCCGCAUGAUUAAAGGUAUUUUCCGGUAGACGAUGGGGAUGCG